Molecule: ribosomal RNA, 253 nt
Filed under: uncultured bacterium
Lineage: Bacteria
Description: partial 16S ribosomal RNA
Rfam family: Bacterial small subunit ribosomal RNA
Source: RNAcentral
UACAGAGGGUGCGAGCGUUAAUCGGAUUUACUGGGCGUAAAGGGCGCGUAGGCGGUUUAGUGAGUGUGAUGUGAAAGCCCCGGGCUUAACCUGGGAAGUGCAUCGCAAACGACUGAACUGGAGUAGGUGAGAGGGUGGCGGAAUUUCCGGUGUAGCGGUGAAAUGCGUAGAGAUCGGAAGGAACGUCAAUGGCGAAGGCAGCCACCUGGCACCAUACUGACGCUGAGGCGCGAAAGCGUGGGGAGCGAACAGG